Molecule: ribosomal RNA, 807 nt
Filed under: uncultured bacterium
Lineage: Bacteria
Description: bacterial SSU rRNA
Rfam family: Bacterial small subunit ribosomal RNA
Source: RNAcentral
AGAGUUUGAUCAUGGCUCAGAGCGAACGCUGGCGGCGUGCUUAACACAUGCAAGUCGAACGCGCAGCAUUCUGUAGCAAUACAGGGUGUGGGCGCGUGGCGAACGGGUGCGUAACACGUGGAUAACCUUCCUUCAGGUGGGGAAUAACCCAGUGAAAACUGGGCUAAUACCGCAUAACAUGACGAUGGCACAUGCUGUUGUCUUCAAAGGCGCAAGUCGCCAGAAGAGGGAUCCGCGGCCGAUUAGCUUGUUGGCGAGGUAAUGGCUCACCAAGGCAUUGAUCGGUAGCCGGACUGAGAGGUUGGCCGGCCACACUGGAACUGAGACACGGUCCAGACUCCUACGGGAGGCAGCAGUGGGGAAUCUUGCACAAUGGACGAAAGUCUGAUGCAGCAACGCCGCGUGGGGGAUGAAGCUUCUCGGAGUGUAAACCCCUUUCGACCCGGAAGAAUGCCCGCAAGGGUUUGACGGUACGGGUAUAAGAAGCCCCGGCUAACUACGUGCCAGCAGCCGCGGUAAUACGUAGGGGGCCAGCGUUGCUCGGAAUUACUGGGCGUAAAGGGUCUGUAGGCGGUGCGGCAAGUCGAUAGUGAAAUCCCUAGGCUUAACCUAGGGGCUGCUAGCGAAACUGCCGUGCUAGAGUGUGAGAGAGGCGAGUGGAAUUACGGGUGUAGCGGUGAAAUGCGUAGAUAUCCGUAGGAACAUCCGAGGCGAAAGCGGCUCGCUGGAUCACAACUGACGCUGAGAGACGAAAGCUAGGGGAGCAAACAGGAUUAGAUACCCUGGUAGUCCUAGCCCUAAACCAUC